RNAcentral lists this non-coding RNA (172 nucleotides) under bovine gut metagenome. Its description in RNAcentral is "Lysine riboswitch". It matches the Rfam family "Lysine riboswitch aptamer". From Rfam's summary of the family: Riboswitches are metabolite binding domains within certain messenger RNAs that serve as precision sensors for their corresponding targets. Allosteric rearrangement of mRNA structure is mediated by ligand binding, and this results in modulation of gene expression. The record is from RNAcentral.
UUAUGAUAGAGGCGCAGGUGCUAAGAGUAGCGCCGUCCGACGGUUUCGCAGACUAUGGGCGGUGUGAAAGGAGUAGCUGCCGAAGAGUGCGCGAGGCGAAAGCUCACUCUGGGAGUGCGGAGAAUAUCCGUACUACUGUCGCUGACGCGGAGAGCUAUGCGGAGAGCUAUCU